UUCUUUAAAGGCGGUAGUUUCCAAUCUUCACACCAAUUUUCACUUGAGCCUCUAACCUUUUUUUUUUGCAAUUGAGUCCCUAAUCUCUUGAUUUUAUUACAAUUAGGUCCCAACCGUUAAAAAAACUGUUAAAAUUAACGGAAUCGGCUUGCCAACGUCUAUGUGGCAACCUUUUGCAUUUCAAUUUAGGUCCCUAAACUUUACACAUUUUUCAUUUUAGUCCCUAAAAAAAAUUCAAAAUUUUAAAUUUAAAUUCAAAAAUAAUAUUAAAAUUAAAAUUUUAAACUAACGAGAAAUUAGAAUUUUGAAUUUGAAUUUAAAGCUGAAUUAAAAUUUUGAAUUGAAAUUCAAAUUUUAAAUUUAAAUUUUUAAUUGAAUCUAAAUUUUGAAUUCAAAGUUAAAAUUUUGAUUUUGAUUUUGAUAUUUCAAUUUACAUUUAAAAUGAAAGUUUUGAAACCGAAAUUUAAAUUUAAAAUAUGAAUUUAAAUUUAAAAUCAUAUUCAAAAUAUUGAUUUUAAAUUUUAAAU
RNAcentral lists this long non-coding RNA (527 nucleotides) under Ananas comosus (pineapple). Its description in RNAcentral is "long non-coding RNA (ACOM_LNC020799)". The record is from RNAcentral. Lineage: Eukaryota; Viridiplantae; Streptophyta; Magnoliopsida; Poales; Bromeliaceae.